This 200-nucleotide ribosomal RNA is filed under the name uncultured bacterium. RNAcentral's name for it is "partial 16S ribosomal RNA". It matches the Rfam family "Bacterial small subunit ribosomal RNA", at positions 29 to 254 of the family's 1533-position model. The record is from RNAcentral.
AACGAACGCUGGCGGCAGGCUUAACACAUGCAAGUCGAACGAGUGUAGCAAUACACAAGUGGCGCACGGGUGAGUAACGCGUGGGAACGUGCCUUUCAGUUCAGGAUAACACCGGGAAACUGGUGCUAAUACUGGAUAUUCCCUCCGGGGGAAAGAUUUAUCGCUGAAAGAUCGGCCCGCGUAAGAUUAGGUAGUUGGUG